UAAGGAAUAUUGGACAAUGGGCGCAAGCCUGAUCCAGCAAUGCCGCGUGCAGGAUGAAGGCCUUCGGGUUGUAAACUGCUUUUGUACGGAGCGAAAAGGUCUGCCCUAAUACGGUGGGCUCAUGACGGUACCGUAAGAAUAAGCACCGGCUAACUACGUGCCAGAAGCCGCGGUAAUACGUAGGGUGCGAGCGUUAAUCGGAAUUACUGGGCGUAAAGCGUGCGCAGGCGGUUAUAUAAGACAGAUGUGAAAUCCCCGGGCUCAACCUGGGACCUGCAUUUGUGACUGUAUAGCUAGAGUACGGUAGAGGGGGAUGGAAUUCCGCGUGUAGCAGUGAAAUGCGUAGAUAUGCGGAGGAACACCGAUGGCGAAGGCAAUCCCCUGGACCUGUACUGACGCUCAUGCACGAAAGCGUGGGGAGCAAACA
Molecule: ribosomal RNA, 427 nt
Filed under: uncultured bacterium
Lineage: Bacteria
Description: bacterial SSU rRNA
Rfam family: Bacterial small subunit ribosomal RNA
Source: RNAcentral